AUACUUACCCGGCAGGGGAGAUACCAUGAUCACGAAGGUGGUUUUCCCAGGGCGAGCUUAUCCAUUGCACUCUGCAUCCGGCCCCUGCUGUUUCCCCAAAUGUGGGAAACUCGAUUGCAUAAUUUGUGAUGGUGGGAAACUCAUUUGCGGUCUCCCCU
Molecule: small nuclear RNA, 158 nt
Organism: Chionomys nivalis (European snow vole)
Lineage: Eukaryota; Metazoa; Chordata; Mammalia; Rodentia; Cricetidae
Product: U1 spliceosomal RNA
Exons: 1
Source: RefSeq, a predicted model, not a curated record